This 420-nucleotide long non-coding RNA is filed under the name Homo sapiens (human). RNAcentral describes it as "non-protein coding lnc-DCBLD1-1:3". The record is from RNAcentral. Lineage: Eukaryota; Metazoa; Chordata; Mammalia; Primates; Hominidae.
AUGGGUCCUCAGGUUGAUUGAGAGAAUCAGCCCCAGAAUGAUCGCCAGCAUAAAACAAUCUAUGAAAAAUAUACUGUAGUUCCAGCUACUCAGAAGGCUGCGGCAGGAGGACUGAGACCAGGAGCUGGAAGCUGUAGUGCACUGUGAUCAGGCCUGUGAAUAGACACUGCACUCCAGCUGGGCAACAUGCUCACAGUGUCAAACCUGUUGGAGCCUGGAAGCAGCUGCCCAAACUCACUUAGAAAGAAUGAAGAGAAAUAAGAAAAAGCGAAAACUGAAGUUAGGAGGAGACUCAACGUAUCAAAGUAUCGUUCUGUGUUUUUGAGUCCAGCCAGGUCCAGGCAUUGGGGUUUAGUGGCCAGAGCUGGGAUUAUUUCGGCUCCUUAUGCCCUGUUCUUCUGGAUCCGUUUAACUAAAGGU